This 578-nucleotide ribosomal RNA is filed under the name uncultured bacterium. RNAcentral's name for it is "bacterial SSU rRNA". It matches the Rfam family "Bacterial small subunit ribosomal RNA", at positions 102 to 667 of the family's 1533-position model. The record is from RNAcentral.
ACGGGUGAGUAACACGUGGAUAACCUACCCAUAAGACUGGGAUAACUUCGGGAAACCGGAGCUAAUACCGGAUAACAUAUUGAACCGCAUGGUUCAAUAGUGAAAGGCGGCUUUGCUGUCACUUAUAGAUGGAUCCGCGCCGUAUUAGCUAGUUGGUAAGGUAACGGCUUACCAAGGCAACGAUACGUAGCCGACCUGAGAGGGUGAUCGGCCACACUGGAACUGAGACACGGUCCAGACUCCUACGGGAGGCAGCAGUAGGGAAUCUUCCGCAAUGGGCGAAAGCCUGACGGAGCAACGCCGCGUGAGUGAUGAAGGUCUUCGGAUCGUAAAACUCUGUUAUCAGGGAAGAACAAAUGUGUAAGUAACUGUGCACAUCUUGACGGUACCUGAUCAGAAAGCCACGGCUAACUACGUGCCAGCAGCCGCGGUAAUACGUAGGUGGCAAGCGUUAUCCGGAAUUAUUGGGCGUAAAGCGCGCGUAGGCGGUUUUUUAAGUCUGAUGUGAAAGCCCACGGCUCAACCGUGGAGGGUCAUUGGAAACUGGAAAACUUGAGUGCAGAAGAGGAAAGUGGAAU